Molecule: long non-coding RNA, 6455 nt
Filed under: Medicago truncatula (barrel medic)
Lineage: Eukaryota; Viridiplantae; Streptophyta; Magnoliopsida; Fabales; Fabaceae
Description: long non-coding RNA (MTRU_LNC003970)
Source: RNAcentral
AAUGAUUUUUCAUAUGCAAUUGUGAUAGUUGGAGAGACACCAUAUGCUGAAACAAAUGGUGACAGCUUAAACUUAACAAUCUCUGGACAUGGAUAUGAAACGAUAGACAAUGUAUGCAGCGGAGUGAAAUGUGUCGUUGUGUUAAUCACCGGUAGACCUAUUGUUAUACAACCAUAUCUUGAGAAAAUUGAAGGACUUGUGGAUGAUUGGCUUCCUGGUAGUGAAGGUUCUGGUGUUGCCGAUGUUUUGUUUGGUGAUUAUGGAUUUACCGGUAAACUUCCAAGGACAUGGUUUAAGACUGUUGAUCAGUUACCAAUGAAUGUUGGUGAUUCUCAUUAUGAUCCUUUGUUUCCAUUUGGAUUUGGUCUUACAACUGAAGCUCAUAAGGCUACUUCAGAAUAUUAGAUUUUGUUAAAUCAUUUAGCAUUUUUUGUGUUCUUAGGCUAUUUAUUACUAUUGUAUUUUUUUCUACAUUAGAUGUUAGUACCAAAUUGGUAUUUUCAUAUACUAUGUUUGAAAAAAAAAAUCAGCUUUAAUUGUUAAACUUAUUGAGUUCCAAUUAAAUUUAUAUGUUUUUUGUUUAGACAAAUGUAAGUGGUUAGAAAAUUGUUAACGGCGGAGAUCGAACUCUAACCUCCUUAUGAAUACUUUUUCGAUGUUCUCACUUAUAUUACUGAGCUACACCUUCAAGAUCAAAUCUAUCCGAUGUUAACCUUCUUGAACUUACAUUUUAUGAAUUUCGGAAAGAGACUUUGAAAGUCUAUAUUUGUUUUUAAAAAAAAAAUAAUGCCAAAAGAUAAUGUAGUUUUUGUUUUAAGAAAUAAAUCUUAGGAGGCAAGUAUGAGUUAUGAUGCUUAGAUUGUGAUCUUACCGGAUUUAGUAAGACCACAAAAAAUACAACUAACCGUUGGAGGAGAGAUGUUGAUAUGAGACAAAAAAUAGAAUCUCUCAAGUGUAGGGAUUCUAAUUACUUAAACUAUCAUUAGGGCCUGGUAAGGCUACAAUUAGUUGAGUGGUUCACAAAUUUCAAAAUAUUGCUAUAGAGAAUGAAAUCAAAAUGGAUGAAACAUGAAAUUGAGCUCUAAUGUACCAUUUAUCACCGAAUCAAAAUGGAUGAAACAAUUAUGUAAUAAUCACUACUACAAUUGAAAAUAUAUUUUAAAACUAUCCAUACGUGAUUUGAUCAUUAAAUUUGAACAAUCAUAAACAAAACAAAAAUUAAAAGUAACGUUGUUAAUUAUUUAUUUAAUUGAGAUCAGAAUGGAUCAUAAUCACAUGUUCCAUCGUUGACUAUUUUUUUUUGUUUGUCUAUUUAUAUGUCACACUCUUACAACUACUUUACAAAUAUUCACAUUCUUCCACUUUCAUACUUUGCCUUUUUAUUAUUCUAUGAAAAGUACACAUUUUGUCUCUCCUUUUUUCUGUAACAUUGUAGUGCCACAUAAAAAGUUUGUUUGCCAUAAACUCAAACUUGUAAAUUGGUAGGCAAUUUUUUUUUUUUUUGUUACAUUUUAUUCUUGUAAAUUCUAUUUCUGUUGUUGAUUGUUGAUAUGAAUUAGCAGUGGUCGGCUUCAUGGUAUUACGGGCCGUUAGAUUAAUAAACUUUUCAUCUAACGUCCUCCAUCCAUCCAACUUUAUUGGAAAGUCGGAUAUAUGAUCAAGCCGAUUGCUGAGGAUCGAAGUUUUUGUUUAUUGGUUGAUUGCAAAUAAAUUUCAUGACCAAACUAGAAAUGGGUCUAGAACUAUUUUAUGAAUGGUUUUGUUUUCCAUGAUGUUUUUUAAUUACCAAACAUUGGUUUAGUUGCUUAUUUUCAUUAUUUGUUAUUGGACAUGUUUAUGUCUUGUCCCUUCUUCUCUAGAACUUUUUUCAUUUGGAUUUUGGCAUGUGUCUUUUCUAGAACAUUGUUUUGUUUUCUCUAGAACAUGUUUAUGAAUAAUUUGAAGUUGUUUGUGAUCUUAUUCUGUAGUUGUUUUGAGAGGGAGAAAUGGUCAAAGGUGCAAUCUCUUUGGUGGCCGGGCUAGUGCUCUUCCAUUGUUGGGUAGCAAUGGCAGAAGCGGAGCAUUUGAGAUACAAAGAUUCAAAGCAGCCGUUGAAUACUCGAAUCAAGGAUCUUAUUGACAGGAUGACUUUGGAAGAGAAAAUUGGUCAGAUGGUUCAGAUUGAACGCGGUGUUGCUUCUGCCGAAGUAAUGAACAAGUACUUCAUUGGUAAGAUUUAUUUGCUAAAUUUUUUUUAUCUUUUAAACUAGAUUUUCAAAAAAAUUUGUUAUUGUUCAUUUGAGCUGCAAAAUGAACAUAAGGAAAUUCACUAAGUUUUUUCUUUUUAUCUCCAUGCCUGCAAUGAAAUUUUAAUUGAGGUUGCAUAUGGAUUCGUUGUAGUAACAGUAUCACGUAGUUUCAUGUUGUAAUCCAUCUCGACCAUUGAUUUGAGGUCGGACUGUUUAGAUUACACAUUCAUUACAUCAAUAUUAAACGAUUCCGACAACCGAUUUAGGUCAGAUGGCUAAGUCACUGCUUGAUUUAAGAUGCCAAAUAAUUUGAAUUAGGAUUUUCUUAACUUUUUAUCUUUAAAUUUUUUAUAGGGAGUGUUCUAAGUGGUGGAGGAAGUGUUCCUAAACCAAAGGCUACUGCAAAGGAUUGGGUUGACAUGAUCAAUGAAUUUCAAAAGGGUGCUUUAUCAACUAGGCUUGGAAUUCCAAUGAUAUAUGGAAUUGAUGCUGUUCAUGGAAAUAAUAAUGUCUAUAACGCAACUAUUUUUCCUCACAAUGUUGGUUUAGGAGCUACAAGGUAUGCCUAUAUUUUUUGUGUGAAAAUUUAAGUUCUUCAAAUCCUUUUUUUGGAAGAAAAUAGUUUCUCAAUUCUUGGUUAUUAUUGAUUUCUUUUAUUCAAAUUCAAAAGUCUUCUCUUGUCUGUUGAAAUACUAUGAUUUUAUUAUUGUCUACUAGUUAUAAAAAAUGGAAUAUGUGCAACUAUAAAUUUGUCAAAACGUGCUUUCAUGUUGUCUAGGGAAGGUACACAAUCCAAAUAAAAUAUUACAACUGGUUGAGACCUAUAAUAUAAUGCAAGAUCAUACCUAUAAUAAUUUUAGUGAUGUUAUCAAAUAUAUUUAAUUUAUUAAAGUGUUCAUAUUUUAAUGGUGUAAUAUUUCCUUUGGUUGACUUUUACUCUAUAUUCUUUUUCCUAUGAUAUUAGACUUUAUUGUAAACAAGCAAGCUAUAAUUUUUAAUUUUAAUAUGAAUGUGCGAGGUGUUGUCAUUAUAGUUUUUGAAUGUAUUGAAAUUAUAUGGAUCAAAUCGGCUAAAAAAGACACAUUCGAGAAUCAAACUAACUAACGAAAGACAAAUUUGAGGAUCAAAUAGACUAAUGACACACUACACCAUUUGUUGUCUCUAGCAACACUUUUUAAGCAACAUGUAAAAAUUGUUGCUAAAAGUCUCUAAUUACACAAAGAAAAUGCCUUUUUUUUCACUAUGACUCUUUGUAUUGAUGAUGUAUUUUUUAUAUCCCAAAUUGCAGGGACCCUCAACUGGUGAAGAAGAUUGGUGAAGCAACCGCUCUUGAAUCCAGAGCAACUGGAAUUCCAUAUGUCUUUGCACCUAGCAUCGCGGUAAUUUAGAUAAUCAAAAUUAUACCUUAGCUCUUUGUCGAUCGUAGAAAAUAACAAUUUGUUCAAAUUUCGCUACGCUACAAUGCUAUAGCGCUAGUAUUGGACAACAAAUUGUAUUAAAUAGUGUGUUGCACAACAAUAGCGAUUUGUUCAAAUUUUGCUAUACGCAGUAGCGAUGUUGCGCCGCUUUUGCAAAUAUUUGACAAUAUUGUUCAACCUAAUGACAUAUGUGUUUGAAUUUAUAGGUGUGUAGAGAUCCAAGAUGGGGUAGAUGUUAUGAAAGUUAUAGUGAAGAUCAUAAAAUUGUCCAAGCUAUGACUGAGUUAAUUCCAGGAUUACAAGGUGACCUCCCUGCAAAUUGGUCAAAUGGUGUUCCAUAUGUUGUUGGAAAGUAAGAGAUCAUGAUGCUGCUGCAUCUUUAUAUAUGCGUGUUUCCUAUAUAACAGUUUGGUUUCCUUCCUAAACCGAAACACGAAUAGUCCUGCAUUUAAUUGUUAAUUUUGAAUUUUUUUUUCGUAUACAAUCAUUUGUCUAUGUUACACUAUUAUGUUUAUCUUGCCUUCAUCAAUUACUUUUAUUGACUUUCAGAACUUACUUUGAUUAUAAAUUCAACUUUGCAUCCUUCUUACAAAAUCAUUCUAUUCAUACUUGAACUUAAAACUGAUUUUCUUGUCAUUUCCUUGUACAGCAAGAAAGUUGCAGCUUGUGCUAAGCACUUUGUUGGUGAUGGUGGAACAACAGAAGGAAUCAAUGAGGAUAACACAGUUGCAACCAGACAUGAAUUGUUUAGCAUUCACAUGCAAGCUUACUAUAACUCGAUCACUAAGGUUGUCUUAACCAUCAUGGUCUCAUACUCAAGCUGGAAUGGAGAAAAGAUGCAUUCUAAUCGCGAUUUAGUCACCGGCUUUCUCAAGAACACGCUCCAUUUCAGGGUAAUACUUUACCUCAUAGGCCUUGGAUUUCAUAGUUUCGAAAGAUUAUAUCAAGAAUUUAUUUUUUAUGAAUUAUCUGUGUAAAAGACGUAACAAUAAAUUAUACUAUGACUGUGUAAAAUAGGUGACUAUAUAUUAUAGCAUAAAUAAUUGUAUAUUAACUUAAGCCUGAAAUUGUUUAUUUAUCGAUCAUCAUAUUAGUAUAUGCUUAAAAUUCUAUGUUUUUAUGCAGGGUUUUGUCAUAUCAGAUUGGAAGGGAAUUGACAGGAUAACUUCACCUCCUCAUGCUAACUACACAUUUUCAAUUGAAGCCGGAGUGAAUGCCGGUAUUGACAUGGUAAACUAUGAAUUUUACUAAUCUUUUGAAUAGCCUUAUAUAUUUUAGGGUUUACAAUACUUGCACACUCUGGGAACCAACCAAUUUCUCUAAAUCCUGGUGGUGUUGAUUAGUCUUAUUUGAUUUUAUUCAUAAAAAAUAUGAUCUUUAAUACUUACCCUUUUAAUGAUGCAGAUAAUGAUUCCCUUUAACUACACGGAAUUCAUCGAUGGCCUAACCUUACUAGUGAAAAAGAAUGUCAUACCUAUGAGUAGAAUUGAUGAUGCAGUGAAGAGAAUUUUGAGAGUGAAGUUUGUUAUGGGCCUAUUUGAAAAUCCAUUGGCUGAUUACAGCCUUGCCGAUCAAAUCGGUAGCCCGGUUAGUCGAUGAUCUUGGAUUUAAAUAUGAUUUUAGUCCUAAAAACUUAUACCAUAAAUCCAUAAUGAGAAACUAAAUUGGCAACAUAAUUUGACAGGAGCAUAGGGAAUUGGCUAGGGAAGCGGUGAGAAAAUCAUUGGUACUAUUAAAGAAUGGUGAAAAUGUUGAUAAGCCGAUACUUCCUCUUCCUAAAAAGUCUUCAAAAAUACUUGUUGCUGGAAGUCAUGCUGAUAAUCUAGGAUAUCAAUGUGGUGGAUGGACCAUUCAAUGGCAAGGACAAAGUGGCAACAACAUCACCACUGGUAUACAAUAAAAUUCCUUCUCAACUUCUUUUCCUACUAUUGUUUGACACUUUCUUGUACCGAAAAUUCAAGGAAAAUUUUCAUUAAUCUCCUUAAAGUAUGAUUAAAUCAGUUUUUUAAAAUCCGAACUGAAAGUUUAACUAGAUUAAACUUGAACCACCCUUAACUACGGUUUGGACCUUUGACAGUUCGGUUUUGGUUUUAUCCUAAUUCACGUGGCUUAAGGAAGUUGAACCAUAAUUCAGAGGUCUUUCUGAUUCGAUGUUUGGUUAGCUUUUAAAAUCAUUGGUUUAAAUACCAAGUGUUCAAUUAAAAAAAUGGAAGGGAUGUGUGUGCCAUUUAAGCGUGCAUUAAGGAAGUGAAUGUAGUUUCCCUCGGUGUAGUCAAAUGGAAGCAAUAGCGGCGCUAUAGCAUUUUGGAAUUUAGAAAAAUUGAUAUUGUUCUGACGUGUGCUAGUUAGUACAAGACGAUGUCAAAUAAUCAUUAUUGCGGUGCUAUAACAUUGCUUAACUGAUAUACAGGUACCCCAAUUCUGAGUGCUAUAAAACACGCAGUCGACAAAGAAACCAAGGUAGUCUACGAGGAGAAUCCUUCAUUAGAUUAUGUAAAAUUCAAUGAUUUUUCAUAUGCAAUUGUGGUAGUUGGAGAGACACCAUAUGCUGAAACAAAUGGUGACAGCUUAAACUUAACAAUCUCUGGACAUGGAUAUGAAACGAUAGACAAUGUAUGCAGCGGAGUGAAAUGUGUCGUUGUGUUAAUCACCGGUAGACCUAUUGUUAUACAACCAUAUCUUGAGAAAAUUGAAGGACUUGUGGUUGCUUGGCUUCCUGGUAGUGAAGGUUCUGGUGUUGCCGAUGUUUUGUUUGGUGAUUAUGGAUUUACCGGUAAACUUCCAAGGACAUGGUUUAAGACUGUUGAUC